This 937-nucleotide ribosomal RNA is filed under the name Gymnopilus spectabilis. RNAcentral describes it as "LSU rRNA". It matches the Rfam family "Eukaryotic large subunit ribosomal RNA", at positions 37 to 958 of the family's 3401-position model. Lineage: Eukaryota; Fungi; Basidiomycota; Agaricomycetes; Agaricales; Galerinaceae. The record is from RNAcentral.
CGCAUAUCAAUAAGCGGAGGAAAAGAAAUCUAACAAGGAUUCCCCUAGUAACUGCGAGUGAAGCGGGAAAAGCUCAAAUUUAAAAGCUGGCGGUCUUUGGCCGUCCGCAUUGUAAUCUAGAGAAGUGUUACCCGCGUUGGACCGUGUACAAGUCUCCUGGAAUGGAGCGUCAUAGAGGGUGACAAUCCCGUCUUUGACACGGGCUCCCAAGGCUUUGUGGUGCGCUCUCAAAGAGUCGAGUUGUUUGGGAAUGCAGCUCUAAAUGGGUGGUAAAUUCCAUCUAAAGCUAAAUAUUGGCGAGAGACCGAUAGCGAACAAGUACCGUGAGGGAAAGAUGAAAAGAACUUUGGAAAGAGAGUUAAACAGUACGUGAAAUUGCUGAAAGGGAAACGCUUGAAGUCAGUCGCGUCGUCCGGAGAUCAACCUUGCUUUUGCUGGGCGUACUCUCCGGUUGACGGGCCAGCAUCAGUUUUGGCCACUGGAAAAGGGCGGAGGAAAUGUGGCAUCUUCGGAUGUGUUAUAGUCUUCCGUCGUAUACAGUGGCUGGGACUGAGGAACUCAGCACGCCGCAAGGCCGGGAUUUAUCCACGUACGUGCUUAGGAUGCUGGCAUAAUGGCUUUAAUCGACCCGUCUUGAAACACGGACCAAGGAGUCUAACAUACCUGCGAGUGUUUGGGUGGAAAACCCGAGCGCGUAAUGAAAGUGAAAGUUGAGAUCCCUGUCGUGGGGAGCAUCGACGCCCGGACCAGACCUUUUGUGACGGAUCUGCGGUAGAGCAUGUAUGUUGGGACCCGAGAAAGAUGGUGAACUAUGCCUGAAUAGGGUGAAGCCAGAGGAAACUCUGGUGGAGGCUCGUAGCGAUUCUGACGUGCAAAUCGAUCGUCAAAUUUGGGUAUAGGGGCGAAAGACUAAUCGAACCAUCUAGUAGCUGGUUCC